Molecule: ribosomal RNA, 492 nt
Filed under: uncultured bacterium
Lineage: Bacteria
Description: partial 16S ribosomal RNA
Rfam family: Bacterial small subunit ribosomal RNA
Source: RNAcentral
AGUGAACGCUGGCGGUAGGCCUAACACAUGCAAGUCGAACGGCAGCACAGUAAGAGCUUGCUCUUACGGGUGGCGAGUGGCGGACGGGUGAGGAAUACAUCGGAAUCUACUUUUUCGUGGGGGUUAACGUAGGGAAACUUACGCUAAUACCGCAUACGACCUACGGGUGAAAGGAGGGGAUCUUCGGACCUUGCGCGAUUGAAUGCGCCGAUGUCGGAUUAGCUAGUUGGCGGGGUAAAGGCCCACCAAGGCGGCGAUCCGUAGCUGGUCUGAGAGGAUGAUCGGCCACACUGGAACUGAGACACGGUCCAGACUCCUACGGGAGGCAGCAGUGGGGAAUAUUGGACAAUGGGCGCAAGCCUGAUCCAGCCAUACCGCGUGGGUGAAGAAGGCCUUCGGGUUGUAAAGCCCUUUUGUUGGGAAAGAAAAGCAGCAGGUUAAUACCCCGCUGUUCUGACGGUACCCAAAGAAUAAGCACCGGCUAACUUCGUG